RNAcentral lists this ribosomal RNA (455 nucleotides) under uncultured bacterium. RNAcentral's name for it is "bacterial SSU rRNA". It matches the Rfam family "Bacterial small subunit ribosomal RNA", at positions 39 to 482 of the family's 1533-position model. The record is from RNAcentral.
GGAAUUCGAUUCAGGCCUAACACAUGCAAGUCGAACGGCAGCACGGACUUCGGUAUGGUGGCGAGUGGCGAACGGGUGAGUAAUGCAUCGGAACGUACCCGGAAGUGGGGGAUAACUUUCCGAAAGGAUGGUUAAUACCGCAUAUUCUGUGAGCAGGAAAGAGGGGGAUCGCAAGACCUCUUGCUUUCGGAGCGCCUGAUGUCAGAUUGGCUAGUUGGUGGGGUAAAGGCCUACCAAGGCGAUCGAUCUGUAGCGGGUCUGAGAGGAUGAUCCGCCACACUGGAACUGAGACACGGUCCAGACUCCUACGGGAGGCAGCAGUGGGGAAUUUUGGACAAUGGGGGCAACCCUGAUCCACCCAUGCCGCGUGAGUGAAGAAGAGCCUUCGGGUUGUAAAUUAAGGAGGUCGGGAAGAAAUCGUUUGGGUUAAUACCCUGAGCGGAUGACGGUCCGAC